This 193-nucleotide ribosomal RNA is filed under the name uncultured bacterium. RNAcentral describes it as "partial 16S rRNA". It matches the Rfam family "Bacterial small subunit ribosomal RNA", at positions 338 to 522 of the family's 1533-position model. The record is from RNAcentral.
CCUACGGGGGGCGGCAGUAAGGAGUUUUCGGCAAUGGGGGAAACCCUGACCGAGCAACGCCGCGUGAGUGAUGAAGGUCCUUUGGAUUGUAAAGCUCUGUUGUAAGCCAUGAAUGGUAGCUAUAGGAAAUGAUAGUUACUUGACGACAGCUUACCAGAAAGCCACGGCUAACUACGUGCCAGCAGCCCCGGUC